RNAcentral lists this non-coding RNA (27 nucleotides) under Homo sapiens (human). The record is from RNAcentral. Lineage: Eukaryota; Metazoa; Chordata; Mammalia; Primates; Hominidae.
UAGGGGACUAGACAUGUUCAAGAUGGU